ACAGGAUAACCUUUCAGGUCCUGUCCAGCUUGGAUGAGAUUUCCCUUUCUCCAUUGACCAGUGAUGAACUCCUACUCACCCAUCAAGUCUCAGGUGGCCUUUUCUCUGGGACAUUCACACUGUCUUUGGGGGAAGCAAGAAAGAAAGAGUGCAAAACA
This is a long non-coding RNA of Lemur catta (Ring-tailed lemur), 158 nucleotides long. RefSeq lists it as uncharacterized. The transcript has 3 exons. NCBI's taxonomy places the organism in Eukaryota, Metazoa, Chordata, Mammalia, Primates, Lemuridae. The record is from RefSeq and is a predicted model, not a curated record.